RNAcentral lists this long non-coding RNA (443 nucleotides) under Equus caballus (horse). RNAcentral's name for it is "lncRNA (ENSECAG00000047617.1)". Lineage: Eukaryota; Metazoa; Chordata; Mammalia; Perissodactyla; Equidae. The record is from RNAcentral.
GUCUCUGUUCCUGGACUCAAGGAAAGAGGUCUUCCUCUCACUUGGGAAUGGAGUGGGAAGCGGACGUGCGUGGUCUUAGCUUUUUUUUCUCUUCCCUCUGAGAAGCAACUUCGUCAACCAACUGCAGGGCACACAACUUGACAGUUGCGGGUCCUUUCUCUGUUGUUUGCAUGCACCAUAUUCCAGGGCCAUGUUAAAUCUCCUACCUUCUAUCAUAAUAUUGUCUGAAGAGAUUCGGACUGUCUGAGUCCCUCAGAACAUCACACAGAUCCAUUAUAUCGAAGACAUCCUGCUGAUUGGACAUGAUGAACAACAGGUGGCUUGCAUGCUGGAAGCCUUAGGUCCAUUAUGAGGAGAACUGAAGAAUCUAUUUGGAUGUACUGAGGAUUUCAGAACUUCCCUCUCAAUCCUGAGUGAUCCACCUCCGGACCAUGACAUGAGAG